RNAcentral lists this ribosomal RNA (695 nucleotides) under Burkholderiaceae bacterium. RNAcentral describes it as "bacterial SSU rRNA". It matches the Rfam family "Bacterial small subunit ribosomal RNA", at positions 67 to 757 of the family's 1533-position model. Lineage: Bacteria; Pseudomonadati; Pseudomonadota; Betaproteobacteria; Burkholderiales; Burkholderiaceae. The record is from RNAcentral.
CGGCAGCACGGACUUCGGUCUGGUGGCGAGUGGCGAACGGGUGAGUAAUACAUCGGAACGUGUCCUGGAGUGGGGGAUAGCCCGGCGAAAGCCGGAUUAAUACCGCAUACGCUCUGAGGAGGAAAGGGGGGGAUCUUAGGACCUCUCGCUCAAGGGGCGGCCGAUGGCAGAUUAGCUAGUUGGUGGGGUAAAGGCCUACCAAGGCGACGAUCUGUAGCUGGUCUGAGAGGACGACCAGCCACACUGGGACUGAGACACGGCCCAGACUCCUACGGGAGGCAGCAGUGGGGAAUUUUGGACAAUGGGGGCAACCCUGAUCCAGCAAUGCCGCGUGUGUGAAGAAGGCCUUCGGGUUGUAAAGCACUUUUGUCCGGAAAGAAAACCUCCUGGUUAAUACCCGGGGGGGAUGACGGUACCGGAAGAAUAAGCACCGGCUAACUACGUGCCAGCAGCCGCGGUAAUACGUAGGGUGCAAGCGUUAAUCGGAAUUACUGGGCGUAAAGCGUGCGCAGGCGGUUCGCUAAGACAGAUGUGAAAUCCCCGGGCUUAACCUGGGAACUGCAUUUGUGACUGGCGGGCUAGAGUAUGGCAGAGGGGGGUAGAAUUCCACGUGUAGCAGUGAAAUGCGUAGAGAUGUGGAGGAAUACCGAUGGCGAAGGCAGCCCCCUGGGCCAAUACUGACGCUCAUGCACGAA